This 6128-nucleotide long non-coding RNA is filed under the name Sus scrofa (pig). RNAcentral describes it as "lncRNA (ENSSSCG00040031378.1)". The record is from RNAcentral. Lineage: Eukaryota; Metazoa; Chordata; Mammalia; Artiodactyla; Suidae.
GUGCACUAUAUGUUUUAGAAAUAUAUAUCUCUAUAACAGCGCUCUCCACAUUUUUUGAAAUCAUUAGUUAAUGUAUCUUUCCUGCUCAUCAAUGCCCUUAAUUCAACUCUGUACCUCCACUGACCAACAGGGACCAGGCACAUAGCAAGUGCUCAAUUAAUACCUGAGUAUCAAUGAAAGGAGGCAAUACAUUGUAUCGCCUCUAAACAUCUGAAACUUUUGAGGAAUAUUAGAUUUUCUUUCCUCAUCCCAGUCUUCCUUCAGCUGGCUAAUUGUUCCCAUAUUGAUUCUAAACUGUACCAUCAUUAGCAUCCUGAGGGCAUUCACUGAACGCCCAAGUAGGUGACAGAGGUAUAGGACAGAAAACUCAACACGAUCUUCAACACUGCCCUCAGGAAACUAAGACCAAUGGGAAGAUAAACACUGUGGAAGCAGCAAAACGUGAAUUCAAUAAAGACCAUAACUCAUGAGCAAUAAAACCAGAGUGUGUUUGCUACUAAGAAAUAAUAACGGACAAGACCAAUUAAUACAGGGAUGUUGUCCAACACCAUGGUAAUUUUCACUUCUAACAUUUUAUCAGGCACAAUAUGAUAUUGAUAUUUUUUCAUCGAAGUCUGCAAUAAAAUGUCUCCACUAAAUAUAUUCUUCAUCCAGAUGCCCGGCGUGGAUGCUGUGUAUUCUCUCCUCAAAUGCUCACAGAGUUUAAAAAUCAACAGUGCCGCUCCGUGAUACAGAAAGCGCAUGGUUAUUUACGAAGCUGAUCUGCUUUCAGUGUUCUGGUCAUCGGAGCAAGUAUUAUAGAUAUGACAGUUAACUAAAUUCUAAAUGACACAAAAUCUCACCGUUUUGGACCAGGUCUUUCUGGGUUUGCAGAUCCCCAGGUGGUCUGCAAACAAUGCUACAGAAGCAAAAUCCUGGAAUGAGGGCAGGUGAGAGAUGAGGAUCACCACCAAAAUCCCUUCCAGACAGCCUCGGCAGGAAAACGCAGAGAGGAGGAUUUGGAGGCGGCAAUCCGGCCUGGAGAUCAACCAGGUGAGCCUUCAGGACCUCCCCGGAAAUGGCUAGAAAUCCAUGGACAUUUCCUGAUGCCAAUCCUCCUGGGAGGGCAGGGAUUAAAGUCACUGGAACCAAAGCAAACUGUAAUUCAUUCUUGGCCUUUUAAUUUGCAUGCCCCACAUGUAAGCAGGGAGUAGCCACAUUUGAUGCUGUCUUCUCAGAUCCUGUUUCUGCUCUAGGGUUAGCUUGUGACUUAAGGUAUAAAAGGCUGGCUCUCUCUUUCAGCUGUGGUAGGAGUCCUUUGGCCAGUGUCCUGCCUUGAGAGACACAUGACAAAAUAAAAUGACCAUGGUUUCUGGACCCUUAAUGCUUCUUCCCCAACUUGAGAAAUGUCAAUUUACAGAAGCUCUCAGACAUGACCAUAAGGCUGAAAAGGUUAAAAACAAAUACAUAACGCCUUGUUUUCACUUAUUUUCACUCACUGACUGUUCGGUAUUACAGGAUUGGGGCUUCUCAGCUAGAGUCUGUUUCUUAAAGACCAGCUACUCUAAGUCUGCAUAUGUGAGUAUCACUCACACCAUCACAAUACAAAUUAGACAAAAUAGAUGCUUAAUGGUGUAAUUCACUUUACAAUGGCACUAUUAUUACAGCAUUACUCUAUUUUCAUUACUACUGCAUAUUAGAAUCGGCUUCCAACAUGUUUGAGUCAAGAAAUAAAACAACCUAAUCACACUGCCAAUUAAUUCUGUAAAAGUCAUGUAGUAUAUCAAAACGAAAACAUUUUCACAGCAUCCCAGGAAGACAGGAUUCCACUGCUAGCUCACUUUCUCUAGCUUGCCACGCUUCUACCCCAUGAUACUCUGACCUAGCCUAGUCCAAUUACAAGCCAAAAAUCAAUAAAAGACCCUUGGCAAGUCCAAUUGAUUUUCUAAGAAAGGAUAUUAUAAUCCAUCAGCACACCCUCACCUUUCACUAACAUUAUUUUCCCGGAUUUACCCAAUACCAUUGUGGUACCAAUAACUACUCUUUCUCACGCUGCUCUCUCAUCAGCUCAAAUACUGUAACAGCAGAGCAAUUUCAAGCAGGUUGUGAGUCUCUGAGAGUAUUGUUUGCAAAGUGCAUGUAAAUUAUUAGAUUACAUUACAAGUGAAAAACUCAGCGGUGGGUCACCAUAGUGGAGCAUUAAUGGAGAGCACGUUGAAUGGAACCCUCGCAGACAAGUUUCUCCAAUGUGAUUUUUUUGGCAAGAAGGAGAAAGUGAAUAAGGAGGAAGGGAGGGCAAGGAAGGAUGGGGGUGCUGAGAAAGGGAACUUGAGAGAGCCCCCAGCACAAAGGGAAGGAGGAGCUCCCCCAGCUUCCAUGGCUGGUGAGGGCAGCCAGCAGUGCUAUAGGAACAGUGAGGCGGGUGGGGGAGCUCUCCUCUGGUUCAGGUGAAGGUGUGGACUGGAAGCUCAGGGAAGCCAACAAGUGGCUGAUGGGGUUGGACCUAAGGGAUUCGUGCUCACUUGGCAGGAUGCAGCCUAUGGCAGCUGAGCUGAGGAACUGGGAUAGGAUCCAGGCCAGGAGAACUGGUGGUUGAACAAAAGGCCUCUGAUGCCCUAAGACUUUUGCUAAUUUCACAGAGCAACCGAGCAGAACCCAGAGGAAUGCUGGAGACAAAGGGAGCUGAGGAGGAGACAGGGGUGAGGCGGCCAGAGGGCCCCUGCUCCUGGAUGGGCUCUGCCAUCACCACUAUCAUUGGAGUGACCCUGGAUGUGUGCUGGGCACCCAGAGGCUGUGCAGGCAUCCUCACAGGUGAGCCUCAAGCUUGUGGGAAGCCGGCAUCAUAAAUAUCCCCCAUUUUCAGGUGAUAUCAGAAACAGAGUGCUGAAUGAACUUACCUAAGGUCACACAGCUAGCCCACAGCACACCCGGGCCUCCCCUCGGGUUUGUAACAACCACAUGUGCUAUUUCCCAACACUUCCAGCCUUCAUCUGAGUUGCUCAAGACUGGAGCAGACCUGAACCUGCCAAGGAGGGUAGCAUGGAAGGAUUCAAGAGAAAAAGAAGUAGGACAAACGAGGGUGGCUGGGUCCAAAGCCAAGGCUCAGGUGGAAGUGGAAGCUAGUUGAAGUUGCGCUUGCAGAGUUGGGAAGUGCAGAGCUGACUCUUCUGAGACAGCGAAGCUCUGCAAGACAAUGUGGGAGAGAUGAUCUGCACAGUUAAUGAGCACCUACUUUUUGCAAGGCGCUGCGCAGAGCGAAAGAAGAAAACAUGGAGUAUGUCUUCUUGGGGGAGACGAGAAGCCUGCCCAGGAAAUAAUAUCAUAAGACAGUGCAAAGGAACCUGGCAAAGGAAAAGGCUACAUGCUGACUAAACGAGCAAGGUCCCCAUGACUGACCACUGGGAAAGAUGCGGCUCAUGAGAAUGGCAGGAGGGAUGGGGUGAGUCUUACCUGGGGCAAAAAUGAAAGUAGGAUCUCAGUAAGCAAAGAGAUUGGACCUAAGACAGGAGACUGGAUGGGGAAGCAGAGGAGUGGAACAGGAAAAGUCCACAGAAGUCAAAAGAGGCCAAGUUCAAGACACAUGGAUAGAGAAGAGCCCUCAGAAGUGUCUGGUCAAAGGCGCCCCAGACAGAGGGCUACCCUGAGAUGCUACCAGGAGAAUGUAAGCUCCAGGAAGGCAGGGAUCUGAUUUCUCUUGUUUGCUGCUUUAUUCCCGGAGUCUAGCAGAGUGCCUGGCACAAAGCAGGUGCUCAGUAAAUUUUUGUUAAAUGAAAGGCCAGCUUCAUGCUUUUAUACAGUGAUGACAAAUCUAAGCAAAGGGGCUCCCAGAAUUUACAUGUUAAGCCCAGACUGGACAGAUGCAUGUCUAAAUGGAACAGGAUCUUUAUGAGCAUGUGCUAAAAGUGGCAUCAGUUAUUGUAGAAGCCUUCCCUCCCUUCCUCCUUCCCACCUCCAGGCCAUGGCCCACAGAAAGGCAGCUUCUACCUCAUGCCCAGGACAGGGGUUGUCAACUUCAAGGAGCAGCUCAUAAAUAGAUCAUGAAACCAAUUUGGUGGCUCCUAAUGUAUAUUUUAUCUUUAAAUGAUAGAGCAAAAAUAACAUACACCUGGCCCAUGCUGAAACAUUAAGAGAUUCUGUUUCACAUAUUAAGUUCAGAAUCAGUUUCUUCAAAGUAUCCCCAGUUUCACAACAGACAAAAAAAUCCUUUUUGAAAAAACAUAAGGUUUAUUUUUUUUUCCAGUUACAAAAAUAAUACACCCAUAAUGUAGGAAACUCAGAAAAUACAGAAAAGCACAGAGGAAAAAAGAAAUGCACAGAUAACUCCACCAUCUAGAGAGGACCACUUUACCAUGUCAUCAUUUAGGUGUACAUACUUGGGUCCAUGUUAAUACACACACACACUCAAUAGUAUGUACAAAAAUGGUCCCAUUUCAUGCAUACUACUAUGAAAACUGUGACUUUUCACUAAGCCACACAUCCCAAACAUUUUCCAUUACAACGUGAUUUUUACUGGCUACACAGUAUUCCAUCCGCAGAUUUGCUACCCUACAAAAGGCACAGCCUUAAACCCUCUGCCUUAAGGAAAGAGGACAGCUGCUGGGAGACACCCUCCCCCACUGCACAGCUGGAGCUGGCUGCCUCUAGCUCCUAUGAGUGUAAUGCGUCAAGGAAAGUAUGCUCCACUCCAUACCCUGUAUUUCACUUUCUCCUAAGUCAGAAAGGGAGAUGCAAGCACUACCUUCACUAGGCUUUUAAAUGGUUUCAUUGGAAGAACCACAAACUCACUGGCUAAUUUUUAAUGAGCAAUACAAAUGCCCAAUGGGAUGCAAAAAUAGUAAUACUGAUAAUGUUCCAGAACUGAUACACAGCCCAACAGCCUGCACUUACUUUCAUAUGUACCUACUGCCAAAGGCUGGGUGAAUUAACCUGUGUAUACAUCAUAAUAUCCUCAGGGGGCUCUCCUGAGGGCAGGAACUUGACUUUGUACCUUCCAGGAAGUUCUGAGCAUCCUGGGACCACACACAAGUGGAAAGCACAUUAUUAGGGAGGGAGAAGCCCUGUGUUCCACUCACGGCCUUGUCACCCCUGGGAAUGGAAUCUCAGGCACAUUCUGAGACCUCUGUGUGUACCACUGUUAAAGGCUGGAUGGUUCAUAAGGCCUCUUCCGCCUCCAACAAGCUUUAGUCUAACAAAACAUGACCGGUGGCAGCCUCAUGAGCGAGUACCAUAUAUCUAACCAACACCCUCAAGCUCAAGAUGAGAAUGCAAGCUUUAGAACUUUCUAGAGCCCUUCAGGGGUGCCACCCUUGUCCUACUGAUUCUCUGUGGGGCCUUAAGAAAGUUUAGCAGCUUACAAAUCUUCAUGCACCCUCUGCAGAAACGUGCUCAUGCGACGUGGGUCAUGAGUGCCAGAGAUGAUAAAAUACAACUCAGGCAAUUUCACCCUUGUCACCAUCAGUCAACUAACAGGGUCACUAAAAGUGGCAUCAUUUUCAAAUAUCAAAGUAUUUCACUUGCCAUUGCUUUCCCCCUGCUUCAUUGGCUGGACAACUGACAGUUACGGGCAGUUCACCCUCCCCAAUUCCUGUCCUUUCAGAUAUAAUAUCCCCAUCACAUGAGAGAGCACAAGCGGUACUGUUCCCGUGGCCUUCUUACCAUCCACUGGCUUUACAAUCGUACAGUGAAAAUGAAAAGCAAUGCCGUUUACUGCAAAGUUUCUAGACAAAAUAUACCCUUGUUCCCUCUGUGAUCCAUCCGAUGAAAAUCCAUUUCCGAGCCGUCCCUCCUCCCAUGACUGGCGUCGAUCAUAGGGGAUGACAGAGGCCUCUCUGCUUCUGGAAGGGCGGCAUUGCAUCUGGGGGGUCUCUGCUCGUCUUUGUCCAUUUCUUCAGGUGUCUUUAAAACUAACUGGAAGAGUCAAUAAAGAUGCCUGCCGAUUCCUGUACCGCACCAGGAAGCACAUCGUCCUGUCCUUCAGGCCUGUUCUUGUUCUCUUUCUCCAAGUAUUCCCUGAACUGCCUUUGUCAACUGGCAAGCUCGACAAGUUCGUCAUAACUUUUCACAGUGUCAACUUUUCCUCUUUUCACUGUCCUUGUUAAAGAUAAUUUAAAAUCAGAAAGGCACAUUCCCAGCCAUUUCAGAGUCAAUGC